GUCCUUGCAUAGCAUCUCGUGCAGUCUUUCCAGGUUUUUAGCUGCAUUUCACUGGGAGAGACAGGGUAGAGUGUGCUUACUCCAUCUUAACUAGAACCGGGACACAAUAGAAUGGUUUUAGAGGACAUUCUUCAAUAUGUGCCUCUGAAGAUGUGCCUAAAGACUCAUCUUAGAACUCAAAGUCAGGUAAAGGUAGUUUCCUGAUGAAUUUCUACAGAUUUAUUUUAUGAAACUGAUAGUUCCCCCUUUUUAUCCCAGUUACUGAAAAACUCAGAAAACAUGAUUUAGUUCACACAAUCUAAUUGCAGUGUCUGACACAUAGGAAGUGCUUAGUAAACAUUAGUCAUCUCCAUACCUGUCUAUCUCUCCUCUUAUCCCCCAAGAACUAAAUGUUAUACUCAAUAAAAGAAAUCUUUCUGAGUCUGUUUUUUUAAAAAAAUAUAAUUUGACUCUUCCCACGCCUUUUAUUACUUGACUUUCUCUUGCAGUUCUGUGAUAGUCGUUUGGGG
RNAcentral lists this long non-coding RNA (509 nucleotides) under Homo sapiens (human). RNAcentral's name for it is "HSALNT0140891". Lineage: Eukaryota; Metazoa; Chordata; Mammalia; Primates; Hominidae. The record is from RNAcentral.